This 1522-nucleotide ribosomal RNA is filed under the name metagenome. RNAcentral's name for it is "bacterial SSU rRNA". It matches the Rfam family "Bacterial small subunit ribosomal RNA". The record is from RNAcentral.
AGAGUUUGAUCAUGGCUCAGAUUGAACGCUGGCGGCAGGCCUAACACAUGCAAGUCGAACGGUAACAGGAAACAGCUUGCUGUUUCGCUGACGAGUGGCGGACGGGUGAGUAAUGUCUGGGAAACUGCCUGAUGGAGGGGGAUAACUACUGGAAACGGUAGCUAAUACCGCAUAACGUCGCAAGACCAAAGAGGGGGACCUUCGGGCCUCUUGCCAUCAGAUGUGCCCAGAUGGGAUUAGCUAGUAGGUGGGGUAACGGCUCACCUAGGCGACGAUCCCUAGCUGGUCUGAGAGGAUGACCAGCCACACUGGAACUGAGACACGGUCCAGACUCCUACGGGAGGCAGCAGUGGGGAAUAUUGCACAAUGGGCGCAAGCCUGAUGCAGCCAUGCCGCGUGUAUGAAGAAGGCCUUCGGGUUGUAAAGUACUUUCAGCGGGGAGGAAGGGAGUAAAGUUAAUACCUUUGCUCAUUGACGUUACCCGCAGAAGAAGCACCGGCUAACUCCGUGCCAGCAGCCGCGGUAAUACGGAGGGUGCGAGCGUUAAUCGGAAUUACUGGGCGUAAAGCGCACGCAGGCGGUUUGUUAAGUCAGAUGUGAAAUCCCCGGGCUCAACCUGGGAACUGCAUCUGAUACUGGCAAGCUUGAGUCUCGUAGAGGGGGGUAGAAUUCCAGGUGUAGCGGUGAAAUGCGUAGAGAUCUGGAGGAAUACCGGUGGCGAAGGCGGCCCCCUGGACGAAGACUGACGCUCAGGUGCGAAAGCGUGGGGAGCAAACAGGAUUAGAUACCCUGGUAGUCCACGCCGUAAACGAUGUCGACUUGGAGGUUGUGCCCUUGAGGCGUGGCUCCCGGAGCUAACGCGUUGAGUCGACCGCCUGGGGAGUACGGCCGCAAGGUUAAAACUCAAAUGAAUUGACGGGGGCCCGCACAAGCGAUGGAGCAUGUGGUUUAAUUCGAUGCAACGCGAAGAACCUUACCUGGUCUUGACAUCCACGGAAGUUUUCAGAGAUGAGAAUGUGCCUUCGGGAACCGUGAGACAGGUGCUGCAUGGCUGUCGUCAGCUCGUGUUGUGAAAUGUUGGGUUAAGUCCCGCAACGAGCGCAACCCUUAUCCUUUGUUGCCAGCGGUCCGGCCGGGAACUCAAAGGAGACUGCCAGUGAUAAACUGGAGGAAGGUGGGGAUGACGUCAAGUCAUCAUGGCCCUUACGACCAGGGCUACACACGUGCUACAAUGGCGCAUACAAAGAGAAGCGACCUCGCGAGAGCAAGCGGACCUCAUAAAGUGCGUCGUAGUCCGGAUUGGAGUCUGCAACUCGACUCCAUGAAGUCGGAAUCGCUAGUAAUCGUGGAUCAGAAUGCCACGGUGAAUACGUUCCCGGGCCUUGUACACACCGCCCGUCACACCAUGGGAGUGGGUUGCAAAAGAAGUAGGUAGCUUAACCUUCGGGAGGGCGCUUACCACUUUGUGAUUCAUGACUGGGGUGAAGUCGAAACAAGGUAACCGUAGGGGAACCUGCGGUUG